GGACACGUAGCUCAGCUGGCUAGAGCACCAAACUUAUAAUUUGGGGGUCGAUGGUUCGAGUCCAUCCGUGUCCACCA
RNAcentral lists this transfer RNA (77 nucleotides) under Minisyncoccota bacterium. Its description in RNAcentral is "tRNA-Ile". It matches the Rfam family "tRNA". From Rfam's summary of the family: Transfer RNA (tRNA) molecules are approximately 80 nucleotides in length. Their secondary structure includes four short double-helical elements and three loops (D, anti-codon, and T loops). The record is from RNAcentral. Lineage: Bacteria; Bacillati; Minisyncoccota.